AUGGGGCGCUCCAAGGCAAUUGAUGAAGCGGAUCUACAUGACGUUCUGUCGUUGCGAGAUGAUUUCGGAGUACUGCAGCAGGAGAGCGCACAGAUGCAAAAUCAGAUGUCUAAGCUACAAGAGGAAGUGCAAGUAAUUGGAGCCAAGCAAGGACAGAUCUCUGAAACAGUGGGUACAGUGGAGCAAGUUGUACGUGAUCUGAGCAAGCAAUUAGCAACAAUUAGUACUGUUUUAACUAAUUUGGUUAAAGUUUCUCAACCUGAUGCCCAGCAAGAUAAUCCAUCCAGUUCAACUCAGGUGGUCAAAUCUCCCACUCUGCAUAGAGAACAAACACAAGAACAAGCAGUGAGAAUAGAGCAACUGAAGCAACAGUUAGCAACAGAGAAAGAGAAGACUAAGCAGAUGGAAGAUAUCCAGUUACAGAAUUUACCUCCCAUCAGAACAAACAGAGUUACAGUGCCACCUGGCUAUGCUCAACCAGGGAGAAAUGACACUGCCAGUGCAGUAGGAACUCCUGUUACCGGAAGACAUAAUGCACAUACUCCUGCAUUCAACCAGUUUUACCAGCAAAACAGAGACAGGCAAUUGUGGCAAGGGUACUACAAAACUUAUGAGCAGGAUAUGCAGGCUCAGUUCAUGAAAUCAGUUACAAAAGGACCUAGGCUGGAUUUCCCUAGAUUUUCUAGAACAGACCCAGUGGGAUGGAUUAGACAAUGCAACAAAUACUUCCAAAUGUCUGGAGCUCCAGAAGAGUACAAAGUAUCAUUAGCACAGAUGUACAUUGUUUGA
This 789-nucleotide ribosomal RNA is filed under the name Triticum aestivum (bread wheat). RNAcentral's name for it is "partial small subunit ribosomal RNA". Lineage: Eukaryota; Viridiplantae; Streptophyta; Magnoliopsida; Poales; Poaceae. The record is from RNAcentral.